CCUACGGGUGGCAGCAGUGAGGAAUAUUGGUCAAUGGCCGAGAGGCUGAACCAGCCAUGCCGCGUGCAGGAAGACGGCUCUAUGAGUUGUAAACUGCUUUUGUACGAAGGUAAACGCAGAUACGCGUAUCUGUCUGAAAGUAUCGUACGAAUAAGGAUCGGCUAACUCCGUGCCAUCAGCCGCGGUACUACGGAGGAUUCAAGCGUUAUCCGGAUUUAUUGGGUUUAAAGGGUGCGUAGGCGGUCGGAUAAGUUAGAGGUGAAAUCCCGAGGCUCAACUUCGGAAUUGCCUCUGAUACUGUUCGGCGAGAGAGUAGUUGCGGUAGGCGGAAUGUAUGGUGUAGCGGUGAAAUGCUUAGAGAUCAUACAGAACACCGAUUGCGAAGGCAGCUUACCAAGCUACUUCUGACGUUGAGGCACGAAAGCGUGGGGAGCAAACAGGAUUAGAUACCCCAGUAGUC
RNAcentral lists this ribosomal RNA (460 nucleotides) under uncultured bacterium. RNAcentral describes it as "partial 16S ribosomal RNA". It matches the Rfam family "Bacterial small subunit ribosomal RNA", at positions 338 to 795 of the family's 1533-position model. The record is from RNAcentral.